GGGGCUGUGGCCUAGUCAGGAAGGGCGACGGGCUCCAGACCCGUUAACCGAGGGUUCAAAUCCCUUCAGCCCCA
This 74-nucleotide transfer RNA is filed under the name archaeon SCG-AAA382B04. RNAcentral describes it as "tRNA-Trp". It matches the Rfam family "tRNA". Rfam says of the family: Transfer RNA (tRNA) molecules are approximately 80 nucleotides in length. Their secondary structure includes four short double-helical elements and three loops (D, anti-codon, and T loops). The record is from RNAcentral.